GAAUAAAAUUACUGAUAGUUAGGCCCAUAUUUUAAGAAGCCAUGAACAAUUUGGUAUGGAUAAAUAAUAUAAUCAGUUGGUUGGCCACUAAUUAACACAUUUAUUAGAGAUAAAUGAGAUUCCAUCUUUUUGUUUGCCAACACAACUCCACCUUUGUUUAUCUCCAAACCCCACAUUUUCUACUUCUCUUUGGUUUGUGGACAAUAAAAUAUCAUUUCAUCUCCACUAUCUUAAAAUCUUAAAAUCAGCAUUAAUUUCUUUUGUCUAGAUUUUCUAAGAGCAUGUUUAUCGGGACAUUUAAAGGAAAGCUUAGAGGAAUCUAAUGAUUUAAUUAAAUGAAAAAUAAUAAGAAAGACAAAAACCGAUGCUUAGCUUAGGUAAUUUGUGAUCGAAUUUAAUGGGGAUUUAAAACACGUGUCACGUAAGCAGUGGACCGUAUUUAAAGAUGCUUUUAUCUUUUAUUUUUUUUCUUCUCUUCUCUUUCUCUGAUUUUCCCGUGUUCUUGUUUUGUCCGUCGAGAGAAAAUAACAAAAUCGAAGAGAUUCCUCCACCUUCUUUGCUCGAAACCGACGAUCGAAACCGAUGACGACUCUCUUGUCCUCCCGGAGUCUCAUCUUUUCCCACUUGCCUGGUCUUCUCCAUCAGAUCAAAGAUCGAAACUGACGAUCAAAACCGAGGACUCUCUUGUCGUCACGAAGUCUCGUCUCACUUGUCGGGUCUUCUUCAUCUGAUCAAGGAUCGAAACUGGUGACGGACGACGUCUCUCUGGCUUCUCACGGGAAUUCCAUCGCCAUCUCCGCCGAUACCGAGGACGACUCUCUUCUCCUCACAGAGUCUCGUCGUUCCACUUGUGUCGUCUUCUCCGCCAGAUCAAUGAUCGCUACCGAGGACGGAUUCUGUCUGGCUCCUCAUGGAGAUUCCUCCUACUUCAUGUGAGGGUCGAGGACUCUGUCCGUGUUGACGGCGUCUCCUCCGUUGGAGAUAAGUUCACAACUAUUGACAUAUUUCUCCUUUCAAUUCAUGAAUGCAUGUGAUAGUAGUUAAGUUUUGUGUGUCAUUGUAAAGCUUUAGCCUUUGAUCAAAAAUUGUAGGCUGCUUAAAUGUUUAGUGUGCUUGGUGUGAUUGUUUAGUAAAUGAAAGGCGAUUGUUUUCUCUGAUUUUUUAGUUAAUGAAAGGUGAUUGUUUUGUCUGAUUGUUUAGUAAAUCUUGAAACAAGUAUUGAAGAUCAGAGAGGACUGUAUAGUGUCAUGUAUUGUUGCUGAUAUCUCGUUAGAUCUUUCUUUUUAUUUGUCCAAACAAGUUGAUGAAUCAUGUGUCAUGUAUUGGUUAUUUGAGAAUGGUAAUUAAGGUUGUUUAUACAACUGAAAUCAGUAACGUAUAUAAUUAAGUUUGCUUUGGUUUGCGUAGAUAAAUCAUGUGAGGAAGGUAAGAGGAGAAUGAGGAGCCAAAGACAGGCGGGAUGUUGGAGGCAAAGAUAGGUUCAAAAGAGUGUACCCCUGUUGAUGGGACCAGUGAGGAUUGUACUCAGAAGUCACGAAUAUGCUUUGUCUUGAGUUUUGUCUUGUUGUGUCACAAGUUCUUUGAAGUAGCAACAUGUAUUUGUUUGUAUGUGUCACGAGUUCUGUUGUAGUACCAACUUUGUAUUUGUUUGAAUGUGUCACAAGUUGUAUUCAAAACUUCUUGAUCUCUAGAUAAAGCUUUGAUUCACUCUCGUA
This is a long non-coding RNA of Brassica napus (rape), 1715 nucleotides long. RefSeq lists it as uncharacterized. The transcript is spliced from 2 exons. Lineage: Eukaryota; Viridiplantae; Streptophyta; Magnoliopsida; Brassicales; Brassicaceae. The record is from RefSeq and is a predicted model, not a curated record.